GCAUAGCUUCAUCUGCCACACACACAUACUCAGAGGCCCAAGAAACUUAAAAAAGGAUGAAUACCCUUCUCUCUGUCUUUGUUUUCCUUGUUCCCAUCUUCCUUCUCCUUACCAAAAGGAUAAGUUCAUCAAAGAAACUCCCUCCAGGUUCACUAGGAAUUCCCAUAAUAGGCCAAAGCCUUAGCCUUCUCCAAAACAUGAGAGGCAAUACUGCAGAAAAAUGGCUUGAGAAAAGGAUACAAAAAUAUUGGUCCCAUAUCAAAGAUGUGUCUUUUUGGCAAGCCAACUGUUUUCUUAUAUGGGCAGGCUGCAAACAAGUUUGCGUUCGCCAGCGAUAGCAGCAUUCUGGCCAACAGUCAAACAGAAUCUGUUAAGACUAUAUUGGGUGAUAGGUGCUUGCUGGAACUGAGUGGCUGAGAUCAUAAGCGUGUCAGGGAUGCUCUUAUGUCCUUUUUGAAGCCUGAAUCGCUGAAGCAGUAUGUGGGCAAAAUGGAUCUGGAAGUUAGGUUGCAUAUUGAUGAGUACUGGCAAUGCAAGAAGGAGGUCACUGUCUUACCCUUGAUGAAGACACUCACAUUCAAUAUAAUCUGCACUCUUCUAUUUGGAAUUGAAAGAGGAGCUAGAAGAGAUAAGCUUGUGGAUUUGUUCCAAGAGAUGAUAGCAGGAAUGUGGUCAAUCCCAAUUAACUUGCCCUUCACUCGCUACACCCGCAGCAUCCACUCAAGCAAGAGUGUUCGGAACAUGCUGAAGGAUCUUAUAGGUGAAAAGGGGAAGGAACUCCAGGAAAUGGGUUCUAAUCCUCACCAAGAUCUCAUCACUUGCAUGCUUAGCAGUCGCAAUCCGAACGAUGUUGAAGAAAUAAGCGAGGAGGAGAUUGUGGACAAUAGUAUGCUUGUUAUGACUGCUGGACAUGACACUUCAGCGGUUGUGCUCACUUUCUUGAUAAGGCUUUUAGCUAAGAUCCUUCUGUUUACAACGCUGUUCUUCAACGUAUGUGUCUGAAAUAUACAUUUUGUUGCUCGUCCUGGUUUGAACUCGGUUCCAUUUAGUAACAGGAAAACAAUAAGUAUCGCUUUGCGAUAUUGGGUUGCAGAACAAGAAGAGAUAGCUAAGGGCAAGCACAGGGGAGAGUCUUUAAUCUGGGAAGACAUUACCAAGAUGAAGUACACUUGGAGAGUUGCAAUGGAGACAAUGAGAAUGUUCCCUCCUAUCUUUGGUGGCUUUAGUCAAGCUGUAAAGGAUAUAGAGAAUGAUGGAUACAUUAUUCCUAAAGGGUGGCAAGUAAGUGAAACCCUCAAUUCUGUUGCAUUUUUAAGUACUUUUUUGAAGAUCAACUGGAAACAUAAAACUGAUAACCCUCGCUAUCUAUGAUUCAGAUAUUCUGGGUUACGAGCAUGACUCAAAUGGACGAUGGCAUAUUCCGGGAGCCUCAGAAGUUUGAUCCAGCCAGAUUUGAGAAUCCAUCUUCAAUUCCACCCUACUGCUACAUUCCAUUUGGAGGGGGACCUCGCAUAUGUCCAGGAUCCGAGUUUGCAAAGAUUGAAACCCUUGUUACAAUCCACUAUCUGGUCACUCAAUUUACAUGGAAGUUGUCUUCUGAUGACUGCUUCAGUAGGGAUCCAAUGCCAGCUUCAACUAAAGGAUUGCCCAUCCAAAUCGCACCAAAGAAACAAAUGUUUUAAAGUAUCUUGAGCCUCCUGAUACAAAGUUGACUUUUGCAAGCUAAAUAGGAAUGCAUUUUAUGAUAAAUCGAAUUAUCGAACCAAAAUAAAUUGAUUCUGUUCAUUUCAAUCCAUCGUUUUCUUAACAUUUCAACAACCG
This 1821-nucleotide unclassified non-coding RNA is filed under the name Hevea brasiliensis (rubber tree). The record is from RNAcentral. Lineage: Eukaryota; Viridiplantae; Streptophyta; Magnoliopsida; Malpighiales; Euphorbiaceae.